Molecule: ribosomal RNA, 402 nt
Filed under: uncultured bacterium
Lineage: Bacteria
Description: bacterial SSU rRNA
Rfam family: Bacterial small subunit ribosomal RNA
Source: RNAcentral
UAGGGAAUAUUGGUAAUGUGCGAAAGCGCGAACCAGCAACGCCGCGUGCACGAUGAAGGCCUUCGGGUUGUAAAGUGCUUUUAGAGAGGAUGAGGAAGGACAGUACUUUCUGAAUAAGCCUCGGCUAACUACGUGCCAGCAGCCGCGGUAAAACGUAGGUGGCUAGCGUUAUCCGGAUUUACUGGGCGUAAAGCGCGUGCAGGUGGUUUCGUAAGUUGGAUGUGAAAGCUCCUGGCUUAACUGGGAGAGGUCGUUCAAAACUGCGAGGCUUGAGAGUGGUAGAGGGAGGUGGAAUUCCGGGUGUAGUGGUGAAAUGCGUAGAUAUCCGGAGGAACACCAGUGGCGAAAGCGGCCUCCUGGACCAUUUCUGACACUCAGACGCGAAAGCUAAGGUAGCAAACG